RNAcentral lists this ribosomal RNA (233 nucleotides) under uncultured bacterium. Its description in RNAcentral is "partial 16S ribosomal RNA". It matches the Rfam family "Bacterial small subunit ribosomal RNA", at positions 103 to 339 of the family's 1533-position model. The record is from RNAcentral.
CGGGUGCGUAACGCGUAGGAAUCUGCCUAUUAGUGGGGGACAACGUGGGGAAACCCACGCUAAUACCGCAUACGCCCUACGGGGGAAAGGAGGGGAUCUUCGGGCCUUGCGCUAUUAGAUGAGCCCAAGUCGGAUUAGCUAGUUGGUAGGGUAAAGGCCUACCAAGGCGACGAUCCGUAGCUGGUCUGAGAGGAUGAUCAGCCACACUGGGACUGAGACACGGCCCAGACUCC